CUUUGAUAUUAAUUAAAUCAAUGGCCAAAGAUACAAACCCUACUGCCAUACAGGUUUGGAAACAAGAACUGGACAUUGAUAUUAAUUCGAAUCAAUGGGGUUCUUCAAUGAUGGAUGUUAAGAAAAAUAUACAUUCAUUAAAUCUAUUAGAAACUCACUUUAAAGUUUUAAAUAGGUGGUACUUAGUACCAGCUAAAUUGAAUAAAAUUUAUCCUUUAGCUAACCCUAUUUGUUGGAGAUGUAAUAGUAUUAGAGGCAAUUUUAGACAUAUUUGGUGGGAUUGCCAUAAAUUAAAGAAUCUCUGGUUGAAAAU
Molecule: non-coding RNA, 313 nt
Organism: Pelobates cultripes (western spadefoot toad)
Lineage: Eukaryota; Metazoa; Chordata; Amphibia; Anura; Pelobatidae
Source: the annotation of a GenBank genome assembly